RNAcentral lists this ribosomal RNA (253 nucleotides) under uncultured bacterium. Its description in RNAcentral is "partial 16S ribosomal RNA". It matches the Rfam family "Bacterial small subunit ribosomal RNA", at positions 524 to 776 of the family's 1533-position model. The record is from RNAcentral.
UACGAAGGGGGCUAGCGUUGCUCGGAAUGACUGGGCGUAAAGGGCGCGUAGGCGGCUCAUACAGUCAGAUGUGAAAUUCCUGGGCUUAACCUGGGGGCUGCAUUUGAUACGUGUGGGCUUGAGUGGGGAAGAGGGUCGUGGAAUUCCCAGUGUAGAGGUGAAAUUCGUAGAUAUUGGGAAGAACACCGGUGGCGAAGGCGGCGACCUGGGUCGACACUGACGCUGAGGCGCGAAAGCGUGGGGAGCAAACAGG